ACCUACGGGGGGCAGCAGUGGGGAAUAUUGCACAAUGGGGGAAACCCUGAUGCAGCGACGCCGCGUGAGUGAGGAAGUAUUUCGGUACGUAAAGCUCUAUCAGCAGGGAAGAAAAUGACGGUACCUGACUAAGAAGCCCCGGCUAACUACGUGCCAGCAGCCGCGGUAAUACGUAGGGGGCAAGCGUUAUCCGGAUUUACUGGGUGUAAAGGGAGCGUAGACGGAGGAGCAAGUCUGAUGUGAAAAUCCGGGGCCCAACCCCGGAACUGCAUUGGAAACUGUUUAUCUAGAGUGUCGGAGAGGCA
This 305-nucleotide ribosomal RNA is filed under the name uncultured bacterium. RNAcentral describes it as "bacterial SSU rRNA". It matches the Rfam family "Bacterial small subunit ribosomal RNA", at positions 337 to 659 of the family's 1533-position model. The record is from RNAcentral.